UACGAGUGGUGCAAGCGUUAUUCGGAAUAACUGGGCGUAUAGGGUGCGUAGACGGCAUAUUAAGUCUGCUGUUAAAUACUUCAGCUCAACUGAAGACAUGCGGUAGAAACUGAUGCGCUAGAGAUUGAAAGAGAGAAGUGGAAUUCCCGGAGUAGCGGUAAAAUGCGUAGAUCUCGGGAGGAACACCAAUGGCGAAGGCAGCUUCUUGGUUCAAUUCUGACGUUGAGGCACGAAAGCGUGGGGAGCAAACAGG
RNAcentral lists this ribosomal RNA (253 nucleotides) under uncultured bacterium. RNAcentral's name for it is "partial 16S ribosomal RNA". It matches the Rfam family "Bacterial small subunit ribosomal RNA", at positions 524 to 776 of the family's 1533-position model. The record is from RNAcentral.